Molecule: ribosomal RNA, 1549 nt
Filed under: Klebsiella pneumoniae
Lineage: Bacteria; Pseudomonadati; Pseudomonadota; Gammaproteobacteria; Enterobacterales; Enterobacteriaceae
Description: bacterial SSU rRNA
Rfam family: Bacterial small subunit ribosomal RNA
Source: RNAcentral
AAAUUGAAGAGUUUGAUCAUGGCUCAGAUUGAACGCUGGCGGCAGGCCUAACACAUGCAAGUCGAGCGGUAGCACAGAGAGCUUGCUCUCGGGUGACGAGCGGCGGACGGGUGAGUAAUGUCUGGGAAACUGCCUGAUGGAGGGGGAUAACUACUGGAAACGGUAGCUAAUACCGCAUAAUGUCGCAAGACCAAAGUGGGGGACCUUCGGGCCUCAUGCCAUCAGAUGUGCCCAGAUGGGAUUAGCUAGUAGGUGGGGUAACGGCUCACCUAGGCGACGAUCCCUAGCUGGUCUGAGAGGAUGACCAGCCACACUGGAACUGAGACACGGUCCAGACUCCUACGGGAGGCAGCAGUGGGGAAUAUUGCACAAUGGGCGCAAGCCUGAUGCAGCCAUGCCGCGUGUGUGAAGAAGGCCUUCGGGUUGUAAAGCACUUUCAGCGGGGAGGAAGGCGGUGAGGUUAAUAACCUCAUCGAUUGACGUUACCCGCAGAAGAAGCACCGGCUAACUCCGUGCCAGCAGCCGCGGUAAUACGGAGGGUGCAAGCGUUAAUCGGAAUUACUGGGCGUAAAGCGCACGCAGGCGGUCUGUCAAGUCGGAUGUGAAAUCCCCGGGCUUAACCUGGGAACUGCAUUCGAAACUGGCAGGCUAGAGUCUUGUAGAGGGGGGGGAAUUCCGGGUGUAGCGGUGAAAUGCGUAGAGAUCUGGAGGAAUACCGGUGGCGAAGGCGGCCCCCUGGACAAAGACUGACGCUCAGGUGCGAAAGCGUGGGGAGCAAACAGGAUUAGAUACCCUGGUAGUCCACGCCGUAAACGAUGUCGAUUUGGAGGUUGUGCCCUUGAGGCGUGGCUUCCGGAGCUAACGCGUUAAAUCGACCGCCUGGGGAGUACGGCCGCAAGGUUAAAACUCAAAUGAAUUGACGGGGGCCCGCACAAGCGGUGGAGCAUGUGGUUUAAUUCGAUGCAACGCGAAGAACCUUACCUGGUCUUGACAUCCACAGAACUUUCCAGAGAUGGAUUGGUGCCUUCGGGAACUGUGAGACAGGUGCUGCAUGGCUGUCGUCAGCUCGUGUUGUGAAAUGUUGGGUUAAGUCCCGCAACGAGCGCAACCCUUAUCCUUUGUUGCCAGCGGUUAGGCCGGGAACUCAAAGGAGACUGCCAGUGAUAAACUGGAGGAAGGUGGGGAUGACGUCAAGUCAUCAUGGCCCUUACGACCAGGGCUACACACGUGCUACAAUGGCAUAUACAAAGAGAAGCGACCUCGCGAGAGCAAGCGGACCUCAUAAAGUAUGUCGUAGUCCGGAUUGGAGUCUGCAACUCGACUCCAUGAAGUCGGAAUCGCUAGUAAUCGUAGAUCAGAAUGCUACGGUGAAUACGUUCCCGGGCCUUGUACACACCGCCCGUCACACCAUGGGAGUGGGUUGCAAAAGAAGUAGGUAGCUUAACCUUCGGGAGGGCGCUUACCACUUUGUGAUUCAUGACUGGGGUGAAGUCGUAACAAGGUAACCGUAGGGGAACCUGCGGUUGGAUCACCUCCUUACCUUAAAGAA